This 395-nucleotide ribosomal RNA is filed under the name Candidatus Portiera aleyrodidarum (primary endosymbiont of Bemisia tabaci). Its description in RNAcentral is "partial 23S ribosomal RNA". It matches the Rfam family "Bacterial large subunit ribosomal RNA", at positions 1563 to 1973 of the family's 2925-position model. The record is from RNAcentral. Lineage: Bacteria; Pseudomonadati; Pseudomonadota; Gammaproteobacteria; Johnevansiales (SeqCode); Johnevansiaceae (SeqCode).
GACAAGGUUUGAAAGUAAAGUGAUUGAUGUCAUACUUUCAAGAAAAGCUUCUAGGGCUAAUUGAUUAACUACCCGUACCGCAAACCGACACAGGUGGGUAGGUAGAGUAUACUAAGACGCGCGAGCAAACUCUUGUUAAGGAACUCGGCAAAAUUACUCCGUAACUUAGGGAUAAGGAGAGCUUUUAUUAAAACUAAAAGCCGCAGAGAAUAGGCCCAAGCGACUGUUUAUCAAAAACAUAGGUCUCUGCUAAACCGCAAGGUGAUGUAUAGGGGCUGAUGCCUGCCCGGUGCUGGAAGAUUAAAAGGAGAUGUCAGGCAACGAAGCAUUGAAUUGAAGUCCCAGUAAACGGCGGCCGUAACUAUAACGGUCCUAAGGUAGCGAAAUUCCUUGUC